AACGCGAAGAACCUUACCAGGUCUUGACAUCCAACUAACGAGGCAGAGAUGCGUCAGGUGCCCUUCGGGGAAAGUUGAGACAGGUGGUGCAUGGUUGUCGUCAGCUCGUGUCGUGAGAUGUUGGGUUAAGUCCCGCAGCGAGCGCAACCCUUGCCAUUAGUUGCUACGCAAGAGCACUCUAAUGGGACUGCCGUUGAUAUAACGGAGGAAGGUGGGGACGACGUCAAAUCAUCAUGCCCCUUAUGACCUGGGCUACACACGUACUACAAUGGCCGUUAACAGAGGGAAGCAAUACAGCGAUGUGGAGCAAACCCCCAAAAACGGUCCCAGUUCGGAUUGCAGGCUGAAACUCGCCUGUAUGAAGGUGGAAUUGCUAGUAAUCGUGGGUCAGCAUGCCGCGGUGAAUACGUUCCCGGGUCUUGUACACACCG
Molecule: ribosomal RNA, 431 nt
Filed under: uncultured bacterium
Lineage: Bacteria
Description: bacterial SSU rRNA
Rfam family: Bacterial small subunit ribosomal RNA
Source: RNAcentral